GAGUUUGAUCAUGGCUCAGAACGAACGCUGGCGGCAGGCUUAACACAUGCAAGUCGAACGCCCCGCAAGGGGAGGUGGCAGACGGGUGAGUAACGCGUGGGAAAGUCUACCCAGUUCUACGGAACAACUGAGGGAAACUUCAGCUAAUACCGUAUACGCCCUACGGGGGAAAGAUUUAUCGGAAUUGGAUGAGCCCGCGUUGGAUUAGCUAGUUGGUGAGGUAACGGCUCACCAAGGCGACGAUCCAUAGCUGGUCUGAGAGGAUGAUCAGCCACACUGGGACUGAGACACGGCCCAGACUCCUACGGGAGGCAGCAGUGGGGAAUAUUGGACAAUGGGCGCAAGCCUGAUCCAGCCAUGCCGCGUGAGUGAUGAAGGCCUUAGGGUUGUAAAGCUCUUUUCAGUGGGGACGAUAAUGACGGUACCCACAGAAGAAGCCCCGGCUAACUUCGUGCCAGCCGCCGCCGUAA
This 470-nucleotide ribosomal RNA is filed under the name uncultured Alphaproteobacteria bacterium. Its description in RNAcentral is "bacterial SSU rRNA". It matches the Rfam family "Bacterial small subunit ribosomal RNA", at positions 9 to 523 of the family's 1533-position model. Lineage: Bacteria; Pseudomonadati; Pseudomonadota; Alphaproteobacteria. The record is from RNAcentral.